RNAcentral lists this ribosomal RNA (520 nucleotides) under uncultured Glomus. Its description in RNAcentral is "SSU rRNA". It matches the Rfam family "Eukaryotic small subunit ribosomal RNA", at positions 569 to 1092 of the family's 1831-position model. Lineage: Eukaryota; Fungi; Glomeromycota; Glomeromycetes; Glomerales; Glomeraceae. The record is from RNAcentral.
AGCAGCCGCGGUAAUUCCAGCUCCAAUAGCGUAUAAUAAAGUUGUUGCAGUUAAAAAGCUCGUAGUUGAAUUUCGGGAUCAAGGAAUCGGUCAUGCCUUGGUAUGUACUGGUUUUAUUGGUUCUCACCUUCUAAAGAACCAUAAUGUCAUUUAUUUGAUGUUAUGGGGAAUUAGGACUGUUACCUUGAAAAAAUUAGAGUGUUUAAAGCAGGCUCACGCUUGAAUACAUUAGCAUGGAAUAAUGAAAUAGGACGUUUGAUUCUAUUUUGUUGGUUUCUAGGAUCGACGUAAUGAUUAAUAGGGAUAGUUGGGGGCAUUAGUAUUCAAUUGUCAGAGGUGAAAUUCUUGGAUUUAUUGAAGACUAACUACUGCGAAAGCAUUUGCCAAGGAUGUUUUCAUUAAUCAAGAACGAAAGUUAGGGGAUCGAAGACGAUCAGAUACCGUCGUAGUCUUAACCAUAAACUAUGCCGACUAGGGAUCGGAUGAUGUUAAUUUUUAAUGACUCAUUCGGCGCCUUACG